RNAcentral lists this non-coding RNA (21 nucleotides) under Caenorhabditis elegans. The record is from RNAcentral. Lineage: Eukaryota; Metazoa; Nematoda; Chromadorea; Rhabditida; Rhabditidae.
UAACUGGUAUUGCCGUUUGAU